GCGCUUUUAGUUUAGUUCGGUAGAACGCGGGUCUCCAAAAUCCGAUGUCGUGGGUUCAAAUCCUACAAAGCGUG
RNAcentral lists this transfer RNA (74 nucleotides) under Sciaphila densiflora. RNAcentral describes it as "tRNA-Trp". It matches the Rfam family "tRNA". From Rfam's summary of the family: Transfer RNA (tRNA) molecules are approximately 80 nucleotides in length. Their secondary structure includes four short double-helical elements and three loops (D, anti-codon, and T loops). Further hydrogen bonds mediate the characteristic L-shaped molecular structure. tRNAs have two regions of fundamental functional importance: the anti-codon, which is responsible for specific mRNA codon recognition, and the 3' end, to which the tRNAs corresponding amino acid is attached (by aminoacyl-tRNA synthetases). tRNAs cope with the degeneracy of the genetic code in two manners: having more than one tRNA (with a specific anti-codon) for a particular amino acid; and 'wobble' base-pairing, i.e. permitting non-standard base-pairing at the 3rd anti-codon position. The record is from RNAcentral. Lineage: Eukaryota; Viridiplantae; Streptophyta; Magnoliopsida; Pandanales; Triuridaceae.